UAGCGGGUUAAAGUCCCGUCCAAGGAAUUGUCCAUACGCCUUGGUAGCACGAAGGAGCGGCAUUCAAGUAAUUGAGUGUCGUGAGUUUCUAAACGACAAAGAUGCAGGCCGUAACGCAA
RNAcentral lists this non-coding RNA (119 nucleotides) under Nitrosomonas communis. The record is from RNAcentral. Lineage: Bacteria; Pseudomonadati; Pseudomonadota; Betaproteobacteria; Nitrosomonadales; Nitrosomonadaceae.